This 2632-nucleotide long non-coding RNA is filed under the name Sus scrofa (pig). RNAcentral's name for it is "lncRNA (ENSSSCG00040006699.1)". Lineage: Eukaryota; Metazoa; Chordata; Mammalia; Artiodactyla; Suidae. The record is from RNAcentral.
CAUGGAGUUCCCGUCGUGGCGCAGUGGUUAACGAAUCCGACUAGGAACCAUGAGGUUGCGGGUUCAGUCCCUGCCCUUGCUCAGUGGGUUAACGAUUCGGCGUUGCCCUGAGCUGUGGUGUAGGUUGCAGAAGCGGCUCGGAUCCCGCGUUGCUGUGGCUCUGGCGUAGGCUGGUGGCUACAGCUCCGAUUCAACCCCUAGCCUGGGAACCUCCAUAUGCCGCGGGAGUGGCCCAAGAAAUAGCAACAACAACAACACAAAGACAAAAAGACAAAAAAAAAAGACAGGACUUGUUUUGAAAAUCCUAGAGGAUGCCCCAGUAAUGCAGUCGAUCAUCAGCAGAAAUAGCAGAAUUUCUCCAACUCUAUUUGGAAUUUAUAGAGGAAAUUAAGGAACAAGAGCAAUGAUGAAGUAACUUGAUUUUACCAAAUUCAUGACUUAUUGCGUAUCAAUAAUUUUAUGACAAGUCUUAACUCUGUAGUAGGAGUCCAGUGAAUUUUCAGUCUCUUAGAGAUGGAUGUCUUGUUACUCCUCCCAAGGCUCUUUCAACCCCAACUGAGUUUAUGACAAUGAGGUGACUUUGGGAAAUGACUCAGAAAUGGGCCUGCUGGUUGCCAGGAGAUCCAAGCCUGAAUAGACCAUACUUUCACUCCCACCUCCUGAUUUCCAGGGAGAGAGGCUGGAGCUUGAAUCAAUCAUAGAUGUCAGAGUUCCCGUCGUGGCUCAGUUGAAACGAAUUCUCAGCUGCGGCCCUGAAAAACAAACAAACCUCAGGUGCGGCCCUAAAAAACAAAAAAAUCAUCGAUGCCAACAAUUUCAUCAGUGAUGCCUGUGUAAUGAAGUCUCCAUAAAAACCCAUAAAGAGGAGGUUCAUAGAGUUCCUGUCGUGGCUUAGGGCUGAUGAACCCAACUAGUAUCCAUGAGGACUCAGGAUCCGGCAUUGCUGUGGCUGUGGUGUAGGCUGGUGGCUCAGCUUUGAUUCAGCCCCUAGCCUGGGAUCUUCCAUAUGCCACGAAUUCGGCCCUAAAAAGCUAAAAUAAUAAUAAUAAUACAGGAGGAGGUUCAGAGAGUGUCCGAGCUGCUGAACCAAAAUGCUUCCAUGUUCCGCACUGCUGGCUCCUCUGGGACCUCUUCCUCUGUAUCUCUUCCUCUGGCUGUUGAUAAGCAUCUCUCACCAUCCUCUACCAAAUUCAUCAACCCUUAGGGGAGGGUCAAGGGAACCUCUUGUUUAUAGCCAGUCAGUCAGAAGCACAGGUGACAACCUGGACUUGUCAUUGGUACCUGAAGUGGAGGAUGGUCUUGUGGGACUGAACUAUUAACCUGUGCAACCUGAUGCUACUUCUGGUCGAUAUGCCAGAACUGAUUAGAAUUGCAGGACACCCUACUCGUGUCCAAGAAUUGCAUGUUGGUGGAGGGAAAAAAACACACAUUAGAACUGGUGACCAAAUGAUUAUAUAGAUAAAUAUCUAAUAGCUUGAUGUAACCAAAGAAGUGUUAAAUGAAAACAGCUAAACAACUAAAAUAUAAACUCCAUUUUUUUUUUUUUUUUUUUUUUUUAAGGGCCACACCCCCAGCAUAUGAAAGUUCCCAGGCUGGGGGUCAGAUUGAAACUGUAGCUGCUGGUCUAUGCCACAGCCACAGCAACACCAGAACUGAGCCUCAUCUGUAGCCACGGCAAUGCCGGAUCCUUAACCCACUGAGCGAGGCCAGGGAUCGAACCUGCAUCCUCAUGGAUACUGAUUUGUUUCCACUGAGCCAUGACAGGAACUCCCUAAACUCCAUUUUAAAAUAUAAAUAUAUACACAACAUAGAGUGUGAAAUGAUACACAUUCUUGAACAGUGGAAUUAUGAAUGACCUUUAUUCUCGUAUACUUUUCCUUAUUUUUGUAAAAUACAUAAAAUGAUUAUAUCUCAAUUUAAAACUAGAAAAAUAGGAUGCAACUGACAAGGGCUUAAUGAUGCAACUGACAAAGGCUUAAUCUCUAAAAUAUGCAAACAACUUACACAACUCAACAGCAAAAAAGCCAACAACCCAAUUGAAAAAUGGGCAAAAGACCUGAAUAGAUAUUUCUCCAAGGAAGAUAUACAGAUGGCCAACAAGCACAUGAAAAAAUGCUCAGCAUCCCUGAUUAUUAGAGAAAUGCAAAUCAAAACUACCAUGAGAUACCACCUCACACCAGUCAGAAUGGCCAUCAUUCAUAAGUCCACAAAUAAAUGCUGGAGCGGUAUGGAGAAAAGGGAACCCUCCUGCACUGUUGGUGGGAAUGUAAGCUGGUACAACUACUAUGGAGAACGGUAUGGAGGUACUUUAGAAAACUUUACAUAGAACGACCAUAUGACCCAGCAAUCCCAUUCUUGGGCAUAUAUCCGGACAAAACUUUCCUUAAAAAAAAACACAUGCAGGAGUCCCCGUCGUGGCGCAGUGGUUAAUGACUCCAACUAGGAACCAUGAGGUUGCAGGUUCGAUCCCUGGCCUCACUCAGUGGAUUAAGGAUCUGGCGUUGCUGUGAGCUGUGGUGUAGGUCGAAGACACGGCUCGGAUCCUGCAUUGCUGUGGCGUAGGCGUAGGCGGGCAGCUACAGCUCCAAUUAGACCCCUAGCCUGGGAACCUCCAUAUGCCACGGGAGCGGCC